GAUGAACGCUGGCGGCGUGCCUAAUACAUGCAAGUCGAGCGAACAGACGAGGAGCUUGCUCCUCUGACGUUAGCGGCGGACGGGUGAGUAACACGUGGAUAACCUACCUAUAAGACUGGGAUAACUUCGGGAAACCGGAGCUAAUACCGGAUAAUAUAUUGAACCGCAUGGUUCAAUAGUGAAAUACGGUUUUGCUGUCACUUAUAGAUGGAUCCGCGCCGCAUUAGCUAGUUGGUAAGGUAACGGCUUACCAAGGCAACGAUGCGUAGACGACCUGAGAGGGUGAUAGGCCACACUGGAACUGAGACACGGUCAAGACUACUACGGGAGGCAGCAGUAGGGAAUCUUACGCAGUGGGCGAAAGCCUGACGGAGCAACGCCGCGUGAGUGAUGAAGGUCUUGGGUUCGUAAAACUCUGUUAUUAGGGAAGAACAAAUGUGUAAGUAACUAUGCACGUCUUGACGGUACCUAAUAAGAAAGCCACGGCUAACUACGUG
Molecule: ribosomal RNA, 497 nt
Filed under: uncultured bacterium
Lineage: Bacteria
Description: partial 16S ribosomal RNA
Rfam family: Bacterial small subunit ribosomal RNA
Source: RNAcentral